GAUGAACGCUGGCGGCGUGCCUAAUACAUGCAAGUCGAGCGAACAGACGAGGAGCUUGCUCCUCUGACGUUAGCGGCGGACGGGUGAGUAACACGUGGAUAACCUACCUAUAAGACUGGGAUAACUUCGGGAAACCGGAGCUAAUACCGGAUAAUAUAUUGAACCGCAUGGUUCAAUAGUGAAAGACGGUUUUGCUGUCACUUAUAGAUGGAUCCGCGCCGCAUUAGCUAGUUGGUAAGGUAACGGCUUACCAAGGCAACGAUGCGUAGCCGACCUGAGAGGGGGAGCGGCCACGCGGGAACUGAGACACGGUCCAGACUCCGACGGGAGGCAGCAGUAGGGAAUCUUCCGCAAGGGGCGAAAGCCUGACGGAGCAACGCCGCGUGAGUGAUGAAGGUCUUCGGAUCGUAAAACUCUGUUAUUAGGGAAGAACAAAUGUGUAAGUAACUAUGCACGUGUUGACGGUACCGAUUCAGAAAGCCACGGCUAACUACGU
RNAcentral lists this ribosomal RNA (496 nucleotides) under uncultured bacterium. RNAcentral's name for it is "partial 16S ribosomal RNA". It matches the Rfam family "Bacterial small subunit ribosomal RNA", at positions 28 to 506 of the family's 1533-position model. The record is from RNAcentral.